RNAcentral lists this ribosomal RNA (425 nucleotides) under uncultured bacterium. RNAcentral's name for it is "partial 16S ribosomal RNA". It matches the Rfam family "Bacterial small subunit ribosomal RNA", at positions 354 to 796 of the family's 1533-position model. The record is from RNAcentral.
GUAAGGAAUAUUGGACAAUGGGGGAAACCCUGAUCCAGCCAUGCCGCGUGAGUGAAGAAGGCCUACGGGUUGUAAAGCUCUUUCAGAUGUGAAGAUGAUGACGGUAACAUCAGAAGAAGCUCCGGCUAACUUCGUGCCAGCAGCCGCGGUAAUACGAAGGGAGCGAGCGUUGUUCGGAAUCACUGGGCGUAAAGAGUGCGUAGGCGGUUAUACAAGUCAGGAGUGAAAUCCCAGGGCUCAACCCUGGAAUUGCUUUUGAAACUGUAUAGCUAGAGUCCCGGAGGGGUUAAUGGAAUUCCGAGUGUAGAGGUGAAAUUCGCAGAUAUUCGGAGGAACACCAGUGGCGAAGGCGAUUAACUGGACGGGCACUGACGCUGAGGCACGAAAGCGUGGGGAUCAAACAGGAUUAGAAACCCUUGUAGUCC